CGCGAGCUGCCCGGCUCGUCAGGACGGAUUUCCCCGGGGCCUUAAGUUCUCGUUCGGGAGCUGCCUCUGUUCUGGACCGUGGUCCGUUUCACGCGGCGCCCACCUGGCCGUUGUGGUCCAGGGCGAAACAGUGUCCAACGGCCGGCGCGGCGCCUAU
Molecule: non-coding RNA, 157 nt
Filed under: Parvularcula dongshanensis
Lineage: Bacteria; Pseudomonadati; Pseudomonadota; Alphaproteobacteria; Parvularculales; Parvularculaceae
Description: 6S / SsrS RNA
Rfam family: 6S / SsrS RNA
About the family: E. coli 6S RNA was the first non coding RNA to be sequenced, but its function was unknown until recently. It consists of 184 nucleotides that fold into an extended hairpin structure with a large single-stranded internal bulge. The 6S RNA specifically associates with RNA polymerase holoenzyme containing the sigma70 specificity factor.
Source: Rfam by way of RNAcentral